UUUCUAGUAUUGAGACCAUAUAUCUCGAUACUAUUUGAAGGUUGGCUGUAAUUUGAUUGUUUAGAGCCUCGGCUCUAUAUAAACCGCACCGUCAUUAUCUUUUAUACUGAAGGUCAUGAUGUGUUUUAGAUAAUGUCCUCUUGUGACAGCUUCCUUAGAGCUCUUCCUCCCUCUCCAUUGUAGUUAUUGGCAUUGCCCCUCUCUCUCUCUUCAUUUUGGAUCACUAAGCUAAUGUGAUGCGGUAAACACUUCUCGCUGUCUCUCACGGAGGAAGAGGGACCCUCUCUCCAAACUGAAGAGACCAUUCUUUCUCCCCUCGACAAAAUGGAGGCCCUCUCUCUUCUCU
Molecule: long non-coding RNA, 346 nt
Filed under: Amborella trichopoda
Lineage: Eukaryota; Viridiplantae; Streptophyta; Magnoliopsida; Amborellales; Amborellaceae
Description: long non-coding RNA (ATRI_LNC000286)
Source: RNAcentral